GGAAGACAGUGUUGGAUCAGUGGCAGCAUACGAGAUAAGAGGAACAUGAAGACCAUUUGAAAUGAAAGAAAUCAUAUGAGCUAUUGCAGAAGACUGUGGACCAAUUAUUGCUACCACUUGCUUCUCAGUUACCUGUAAAGCUCCAAUAGACCCCUUAAACACACUGCAUUCAGAAUCCUCCAUAAUCAAAUUAAGACUAGUCCCAUUCAGUAUGCUAGGAUCCCCAUUGAUAUCAGAAACUGCUAACUCCAUAGCUUUCUUAACUGCCCUACCCAUGACUGAAUCAAAAGCAAAAACUGCACCAACAUUCACAACAUCAGGUUUUUCACAGUUCCCAUGUUUAUUCUGCAACAGCCAAAUGAAAACAAACAGUGGCAACACUCCCCAAAGAAUCCUCAUCCUCAUCCCACCACUUCAAAAAAAAAC
Molecule: unclassified non-coding RNA, 426 nt
Filed under: Hevea brasiliensis (rubber tree)
Lineage: Eukaryota; Viridiplantae; Streptophyta; Magnoliopsida; Malpighiales; Euphorbiaceae
Source: RNAcentral